Molecule: ribosomal RNA, 467 nt
Filed under: uncultured Pelotomaculum sp.
Lineage: Bacteria; Bacillati; Bacillota; Clostridia; Eubacteriales; Desulfotomaculaceae
Description: bacterial SSU rRNA
Rfam family: Bacterial small subunit ribosomal RNA
Source: RNAcentral
GGGGCCCGCACAAGCGGUGGAGCAUGUGGUUAAUUCGACGCAACGCGAAGAACCUUACCAGGGCUUGACAUCCCCUGACCGCGUAUGAAAGUACGUUUUCACCCUCGGGUGACAGGGAGACAGGUGGUGCAUGGUUGUCGUCAGCUCGUGUCGUGAGAUGUUGGGUUAAGUCCCGCAACGAGCGCAACCCCUACGUUUAGUUGCUAACGCGUGAAGGCGAGCACUCUAGACGAACUGCCGUUGACAAAACGGAGGAAGGUGGGAUGACGUCAAAUCAUCAUGCCCCUUAUGUUCUGGGCUACACACGUGCUACAAUGGCCGGUACAGACGGACGCAAAGCCGCGAGGUGGAGCAAAUCCUAAAAAGCCGGUCUCAGUUCGGAUUGCAGGCUGCAAUUCGCCUGCAUGAAGUCGGAAUCGCUAGUAAUCGCAGGUCAGCAUACUGCGGUGAAUACGUUCCCGGGCCUU